GAUGAACGCUGGCGGCGUGCCUAAUACAUGCAAGUCGAGCGAACAGACGAGGAUCUUGCUCCUCUGACGUUAGCGGCGGACGGGUGAGUAACACGUGGAUAACCUACCUAUAAGACUGGGAUAAUUUCGGAAAACCGGAUCAAAUACCGUAUAAUCUAUUGCACCGUAUGGUUCAUUAGUGAAAGUCGGCUUUGCUGUCACUUCUCGCUGGUUCCGCGCCGCAUUAGCGAGUAGUUAAGGUAACGGCUUUCUAAGGCGAGGAGGCGUAGCCGACCGGAGGGGGGGAUAGGCCACACUGGAGCUGAGACGCCGACAAGGCGCCUACGGGAGGCAGCAGUAGGGAAUCGUCCGCAGUGGGGGAAAGCCUGACAGAGCAGCGCCACGUGAGUGAUGAAGGUCUUCGGAGCGGAAAACUCUGUUAUGGGGGAAGAACAAAUGUGUAAGUAACUAUGCACGUCUUGACGGUAACUAAUCAAGAAGCCACGGCUAACUACGUG
Molecule: ribosomal RNA, 497 nt
Filed under: uncultured bacterium
Lineage: Bacteria
Description: partial 16S ribosomal RNA
Rfam family: Bacterial small subunit ribosomal RNA
Source: RNAcentral